UUUGGAAGUGGUGAACAAGAGAAAAGUUACUAUCUCACUUGAAGACAAUGGAUUACUGCUGGUGUAUAUAUGUAAAAUUACUUACUGGUGGUCUUACUUUCAGAUCGCAAGUUUGUCCGAAUCAGACUGGAAAAGAAUUGCUUGGACAUUCUUGGGUAUUGUGGUCCUGCGAUUUUUUAAUAUGCUCAUACACUGUGAGUAGCUAAAUGGUUUCUUGCCUUCUGUUAAAAUAUAGUGUUGUUUCUGUGGAGGAGGUAAAAGAGGAGUCCUAGUUUUGGUUCAGAUUUCUUGCCAAUAAUUAUCCCUUUGGCUGCAUUGUGUUCUUCCGGCAAC
Molecule: long non-coding RNA, 333 nt
Organism: Lolium rigidum
Lineage: Eukaryota; Viridiplantae; Streptophyta; Magnoliopsida; Poales; Poaceae
Exons: 3
Source: RefSeq, a predicted model, not a curated record